Long non-coding RNA from Thalassophryne amazonica, 1862 nucleotides. RefSeq lists it as uncharacterized. The transcript has 3 exons. NCBI's taxonomy places the organism in Eukaryota, Metazoa, Chordata, Actinopteri, Batrachoidiformes, Batrachoididae. The record is from RefSeq and is a predicted model, not a curated record.
AUGGAACCAAGCCGCACUCUAAAUGCAAUGCAACACAAAUGGGAUGAAUUAAUCCAUGUGAUGUGACAUACAAAGCACCAAUCAAAUGACAAGGAUCCACUCAGCCGUUAUAUAAAGUCAAAUACUAAUGUGACAUAGUACCGCUGCCAAUUUUUCUCGUGAAACAGAAGUUGCUUUUUUUGAUGCUAUCUAGUUCUGCCUUUUUUUUUUAACCUGCUUUGCCUUUUUUGCAGAAUUAAGCUAUACUGAACUUAAGGCAGACAAUAGAUAUCAAAAACUCCGCUGUGAACACAGUCAGCUACUGUAACUUACAUUCUACUGUAAAUUACAUUUUUAUUAUUAUUUUACCAUAGUGUAAAGUGUAUGACAAUUUAUUUCAAAAGCACAUUGGUCAUGUUAAGGUUUGUGAUCUCUACUGGUGUGAGAGUACACAGCAGUUCUCCUGUAUAAGAGAGACGCCUCUAACAACGUUGAUCCACACCGUUUGUACUCUCAUACAUUUAAUAUGCACAUGGAAUACAAAGUGAUAGCUGCAAUAAAACAGUUGUACACCUUUUUGGCAAACUAAUGUCAAACAUUUAAAAACAAAUUUGAUGCAGCUUAAGAAAAAAAAUCAGUUCUCCAAAAGCAUCCUGUUUCUGUGGCUGGUGCUUUAAAUGGAAAGGAGCUUCUGUUUGUCACGCCCUCUUUUCCUUCACAGAGGGAGCGUUUCCAUGUGCCUCCCAGGAUCAGGAGUCCAGAUAUGGACUUCUGUUUUGUCACACAAAUUAUUUUAAAUCAAAUAGAUUUGAUUUAAAGUAGAAUUUCUACAUUCAUGUUCACAGAAUUGUGUGACAUUGGGAGUGUUUAAUAUCAAAUAUUUAUGUGAGACUGUAAAAAGCAGAUAAAAACAGGUUGUACAGAUGUGACUUUUAAGUGAGCAUCACUGAAUGUGAACAAAAUUUGAAUCAUUGAUGACUAAAGAGUCACAUUGAACAGACAAAUAAAAAGCCUGUGCUAACAGAAACCUGUGGUGAAAUGUGGCAAAGAAAAAUUUGAGGAAUUCCAUUGAUUAAUGUUGGAAUAGGAUGUAACCGGGAGCGAAUGUACUGCUGAUGAAUAUUAAUAGGUUUUGCAUUGUUUUGAAAAAUUUACUGGUUAGAGCUUGUACUUUCUAUUCCAAAUAGUUUCACUUUGACAUUAUAGAGAAGGUGAUUCCUGAAAACCUUCUAAAUGAUAAGUGGUUAUGACAACUAUGAAAUUUUCUAAAUGAAGUGAAAACCAGAACAGAGCUGGCACUGUGUUUUUACACAGCUGCAGUGAAAUACUGCAUUUCACAUUGAUGAGGUGAUGAAUGUGUCUUGUUUGAGCUUCUACGUACAUAUGAACAAUACUAACUUUAGAUCAUGCUCUUAACCAUCUGUUAUUUUGAUUGCAAAUGUAUGUUUUGCACAAACUUGCUUUCACAGAUUUUGGAUGUGUUCAGUCUCUGUGUGCCAUAUGAACACUCAACCAUGUUGCCAGAUAUGUGUGUGGAUAAGCAUGUAAUCCAACAAAAUGUUUCACAGAUGAUAGAAAUGUAUAUUUUUAACAGGUUCAUAUCUAUAUAAAGAACUGGGAUCAUUUUGUUUGAAUAAAUUCCUAUUUUGAUCAUAGAAUGCAGUGCAUGCUGAAUCUUUUCUGCACGCUGAAUUGGUGCUUUGUAAAGCACUGGCUUAUCAUAGCAAAGUGGGAAGAUUGAAAUAUUUGAAUGUCUGCUUUGUUGUUCCUCAGGUUUAACUACACUAUUAAUAGUUUUCUUAUGAUUGUUCAUCUUUCAUGUACAUUUUAUUUAAAGCAGCAGUGUGUAGGAUUUAAGGGAGUUUAUUAAGGUUCAUUUACCA